Molecule: ribosomal RNA, 253 nt
Filed under: uncultured bacterium
Lineage: Bacteria
Description: partial 16S ribosomal RNA
Rfam family: Bacterial small subunit ribosomal RNA
Source: RNAcentral
UACAGAGGUCCCAAGCGUUGUUCGGAUUCACUGGGCGUAAAGGGUGCGUAGGUGGCAGGACAAGUUCGAUGUGAAAUCUCCGGGCUUAACCCGGAAACGGCAUUGAAAACUGUCUUGCUCGAGGAUCGGAGGGGAGACUGGAAUUCUCGGUGUAGCAGUGAAAUGCGUAGAUAUCGAGAGGAACACCAGUGGCGAAAGCGAGUCUCUGGACGAAACCUGACACUGAGGCACGAAAGCUAGGGGAUCAAACAGG